AUUUAACCUCAAAUCAGGUAAGAAUACCCGCUGAACUUAAGCAUAUCAAUAAGCGGAGGAAAAGAAAAUAACAAUGAUUCCCUUAGUAACUGCGAGUGAAGAGGGACAAGCUCAAAUUUUAAAUCUGUUAGGUUCAUCUAACCGAGUUGUAAUUUGAAGAGGCGUUUUCUGCGUUUUUGAUCAGUCCAAGUCCUUUGGAAUAAGGCAUCAUGGAGGGUGAGAAUCCCGUUCGGUUGAUCAAAUUUGCUUUAUGAUACGUCAUCUAAGAGUCAAGUUGUUUGGGAUUGCAGCUUAAAAUGGGAGGUAAAUUUCUCCUAAGGCUAAAUAACGGCGAGAGACCGAUAGCGAACAAGUACCGUGAGGGAAAGAUGAAAAGAACUUUGAAAAGAGAGUCAAAUAGUACGUGAAAUUGUUGAAAGGGAAACGAUUGAAGUCAGUCGUACCUGCGGGAUAAUCAGCCUUUCGAGUAUGAUUCUGUGGAGUGUAAGGAGUUUAACCGUCUUCAUACCUGCAUAUUCGUGCGCUUUGGGUGUACUUGUCCGUAUGGUAGGUUAACAUCAAUUUUGGUCGUUAUAAAAUGACUAGGGGAAUGUAGCUUUGAUCCCGUAUUGAAGUGUUAUAGUCUCUGGUAAAUGCAGUGACUAGGAUUGAGGAUUGCAACGGAUACCUUUCGGGGCUACUCGUCUGAUCUCUGGAAGUUACUUUGGUGCUAAAAGCUUGCUUAUGGUUAUCGAAGUUGACGGUCAAUAGGUUAGAACGAGUUAAAUUCGUUAAGGAUGUUGACGUAAUGGCUUUAAACGACCCGUCUUGAAACACGGACCAAGGAGUCUAACAUAUAUGCGAGUGUUU
This 849-nucleotide ribosomal RNA is filed under the name Rhizophagus intraradices. RNAcentral describes it as "eukaryotic LSU rRNA". It matches the Rfam family "Eukaryotic large subunit ribosomal RNA", at positions 1 to 695 of the family's 3401-position model. Lineage: Eukaryota; Fungi; Glomeromycota; Glomeromycetes; Glomerales; Glomeraceae. The record is from RNAcentral.